Molecule: non-coding RNA, 4137 nt
Organism: Parasteatoda tepidariorum (common house spider)
Lineage: Eukaryota; Metazoa; Arthropoda; Arachnida; Araneae; Theridiidae
Source: RefSeq, a predicted model, not a curated record
AACAAAACUCCUCCCAUUUACCAAAUUUGCUACUUCGUUUGUAAUCUUAAAUUCUUAGAAAUUGACUCACUCAAUUUAGAUCCUUCAUUCAGGAAAUUUAAUCACGAACUUCUUGAUAGAUUUAUUUUUAAACUUGCACUGAUCAUUAGAAACAAGCAAGAAAAUGAGUUGUCUAAGCUUUAUUUUACUAGGAGCCGUUUGUUUUAUUUUGGCACCUGAAGCAAUGGCUCUGGAGUGUUCACAGAUGGGAUUAACAUCUAUGACUUGUCCUUUACCACUUGUGAAUGAUGACGAUGAAAUAUUUUGUUGCGAAACUUCUGCAAAAGGUCUGCAUAAAUGUUGUGACAUUGAAGAGUUCAUGAAACAAAACUCUGGUAUAUUGGCUGGUAUAGUAAUUGCUGCUGUGGUGAUUUUCUUGAUCAUUACUUUGUGCUGCUGCUGUUUCUGCAGUUGCUGUUGUUUGGCCAAACGUCGAGUUCAAAGAGGACAUGUUCUUUAUGGUUAGUUGCAUCUGUGUAUUGGUUUAGGAAGUAACCUGUAACUUAUCUUUUGAAUCUUUUCUCAGAAAUUUAGGUCCUGUUGGUGGUGCACAAGUAGUCACAACUCCCAUUCCUAAUACCUUUCAAGUAGUCCAUCCACCGCCCGCUACUCAAGCUUAUAGUCCGCCUCCUUACAAUCCAAACUAUGCUGCCUCACAGCCUGCUGUAAAUCCUUACUACAAAUGAUUUGACACUAGUCAAACCUGUGAUUUAAAAACCAAAUUUUCCUGUUUUUAACUGUGGUACUGUCAAAGUGUAUUUUCUCCCUUUAUAGUGUCCUUCCUCCUACUUUCUGUUGUGUAUGGGUUAUUUUUUUUUUUCAUACAUAACUGAACAAACUAACUGGAUGAUGGUGUAUACUGAUAUUUUUAUUUUUUGGUAACUAUUUUUGAUGAACUGUUAAAGCAAAAUAUUUACAAUGGUAUUGAUCAAGAUGCUCAGUAAUUGUUUUCCUAAGCAAUGCCAAUUUUUUUUUUUAUCUGUCAUUUGCUAAACCAUUGUUGCAACUUUCAGUUGCCAAAUGUAUGGUUAGAAAAACCUCUUAUGGUGAAAGUUCUAAAACAUUUGUUUUAUAAUUGAUAUUAGAUAAUUGUUAAUUAUAUUCUUUUAUCAUUGAAACAUUAGCUUAUUUUGAUAUUUAUUAUAGUUAUUUAACUAUGGUUAUUAAUAGACACCUGAAUGGCUGUCACUUUUCCGUAAUUUGCGGAAGUGUUGCAUAUUAGAGGUUUAUACCAAGUUUCCUGCUUUACCAUAUGUAUGAUUAAUCAUCACUAUACACAGUGAUUAAGUAAUUCAAUAAAGUAAGUGUAUGUGCCUUUUGAAAAAUAUGAAAAUAAUUCAUUAAAGUAAAAUUCUUAAACUUUACAAUUUAUUAUUUUUGAUGUAUAAAAAAAAAAUUAUCCUAUUCGGUGAUAAAAAAAAUUGGUGUUAAGAUUACUGAGUGAAGAAAAAGAUUUCAAGCAAAACAUUAAUAUCCAUACAUUACUAUAAUCCUUCUCUUCAGUAAAAAGUUUCUUAUUGUUAAGCAUCUUUAAAAUCAACGUUUUGGAAAUAUUUACUUUAGAAGUGACUUUUAAAAUAGGCUAUACUUUGUCACAUUCUGAGAUAAUACUCCCAAGCUUUCCCUUUUUUUUUAUGAAAUGGUUAUUCUGAAGUUUUGCUUUAUAAACAAAUUACAGAGCUGCCAACUGCUCGGUAUUUUUAACGUUUGAAGUCAAAGUAAAAUUUAUGCUUUUACAUGGUGCAUAGCGUUUUUUAAAGGUGCUUAUUUUAGUUUUUUAAAAGCCCUUAAAGGUGCUUUUUUAUUGGAGUGUUUUUAAAGAGUACUUAAUUUUCCCUUUUCGAAGAUGAGAUUUUUUUUUUCCUUUCCCAAGUCUAUUUUUGCUAAGUAUUAUGCAAAAUCCCUGUUUUCACAUUGUUCUAUUCAACGUUUUCACAAUUCAUUCAACCACAAUCCAUUUUGGCAUGUCGUCGGUCCAUAGCGUAUGAUAGCGCCAAUCAUGUUACAUGCUUAAUGAAAUACUUGGGAGUGACUACUGAGCGCUGGAUUCAGUGAGAUUCUUGCACUCUUGUGUACAACUGUGCUGCAUUUUGCAAGAUAUUCUCAAUUUCCAGCUGCAUUUUCCAUCCUCUGAAAUCGAAACAAAAAAAUCUCUCUGAAGUACUUAAAAGGUGGUUUUUUUUUUUUUUUUUGAGAGAGAGAGAGAGAGAUUUGGCUAUGCACCCUGUUUUAUUUAUUUUAAACUUUAUUAAAAACUUUCUUACUACUGACAACAGCAUUACAGGCUUCAACUUAAAGCUUAUAUAAGGGACCUGAUAAUCACUCAAUAAGUUUUUAAACCCCUACCACUUUUUAUUUGCUAUGAACUUCAGAGUUUGCAACUCUGUAAAGAUGCCCUUUCUGCAUUUUUGAAAAUCGAGGUUGACAUCAGCAUAAAUAUCCUCUUUUUUUUACUUCCUUAACACUUUAAAACAAUUCAUGUUUUAUCUUCCUUUAUUGAUGAUACAAAGUUGUAGUUAAAUAACAUGUGCCUUAUUCUUUAUAAUUGGGUAUAAGAUGACCUAUGUCGCACUUCACUUUUCCAGAAUAUUAUUGCCCAGUAAAAACCAGCCUCUUUUGCGAGGUAACCUGUUUUUAUUAAUAGAAUCAUCUUUUUAGUGGGAAUGGUUGAAGUUGUGCUUCAUAUUAUACCCAAUUACUGUGCCUUAUUAAUUUUUGCCUAUGCAAAUUUUAUGCAAGUAAAAAUUCAUCGUAUACUAUUCCUAAAUUUUUACAUAAGUAUUGAAUAGUUUUUUCUUAGACUUUCAAUAUUAAUCUUUGAGAGGUUAAAAGAAAUUUAUAAAUUAUUAUUUUACUAAUUUUUAAAUGAUUACCAUUAGGACUCACUUUUAUGCUAUUAAAUUUUGUAUAUUGUGCACUUAUUUAAUUAAGAAAUAACAUAUUUCCCAACUUUUUUGUUUAAUUAAAUUUAAAUAAAUUUUUUUAUUGCCUCAUUGCGUUGUGAAAACAAGCUGUAGUUAAUAGAUUAUAAUAAUAUAUUAGUUAAAAAUAGGAUAUAAAAUUAGGGAGAAAAUAUAUACACUGCAUGAAAUGCACUAUAUUGAAAGUUGUAAUAGCACUUUCAUAGAUGAACAAUAUAUUUUGGCUGUUAGCAAAGUUUGGAUCUGAUUAAAACUCAAAUGUGUAUAUUUGUAUUUUUAAUUCACUUUUAUGUAUUUACAAGUAAAUAGGCACUUUUACAUAAAAUAUUGAUUAAGAUUUAAUAUUGUUUUUUAGAAUUUACAUGUCUUCUGUAUGUGUAAUAAUAUUUUUAAAGGCAAAAAGUGGUUACCAUUACAGCAUAUGUAAAAUUACAAUUGAUGUACUAAGACCAGGUUUUUGAGCUUUAUUAUUAGAAGUUUACAGAUUCAAAUAGCACUUUUUCUGUAUCGAAAUGUUUUGUAACGUUAGUAUAACAAUACUGUAUAAGUUAGGUUGCAAUAAUUUUCCUAAGAAUAUGCAAAAUUUUUGAAAUAUAUAAAUCAUUGUACUUUUAUAAUACAUUUUUGAAAGCUACUGAAUUUUUUUAUUUUCAUUUAAAUACUAAAUAUUUUUUAUUCCAGAAUCUUAUUUUCCAUGAUCUGAAAUAAAAAUGUCUGUGAUAUUUAGUGGUUUUCCUAGUAAUAAAGCUCAAAACAUAUGAAAUUUAUUCUUGUUUUCUCUUAUAAUUUCAAUUUAUAAAGAAUUAUAUAAAUUACAAAUUUUUAAGAUCAAAUUUCAAAUAUUAAUUAUAAAUUAUUAUAAUCAAUUCUAUGAUCAAAUUUGGAAAUGACAUUAGAGUAUCUCACUACAGUGCCAAAUUAUUGUGCUAUAAAAUUGAAAGCGGGCAAAUUGCUCACAAGAUGGAAUUCAGUAACAUUCCUUUUUUAUGUUCACUAUUUGACUGAUUAACUUUUCAUUGUAUUAUUAGAAUCUUGUUGAUAAAAUCAUGUCAACACAUAAAUCGCAGAGCUUUGCUAUUUAGAACCGCUAUUUGUCAUCAAUAUUAUUUUUCAUUGUGUUCUGUAUAUUUUUGGUCUUAGUAAAUGUUUAAACAAUAAAAUUGAUUGUUUUUUGUUA